RNAcentral lists this ribosomal RNA (475 nucleotides) under uncultured bacterium. Its description in RNAcentral is "bacterial SSU rRNA". It matches the Rfam family "Bacterial small subunit ribosomal RNA", at positions 28 to 507 of the family's 1533-position model. The record is from RNAcentral.
GGUGAACGCUGGCGGCGUGCCUCAAACAUGCAAGUCGAGCGGGGCUAUGUAAUAUCGCAAGGUAGAACAUAGCCUAGCGGCGAACGGGUGAGUAACACGUGGGUAACCUGCCUGGAAGACAGGGAUAACGAUUCGAAAGGGUCGCUAAUACCUGAUAAUAUCCUUUCAUCGCAUGGUGAUAGGAAGAAAGGGGAAACCCGCUUUCAGAUGGGCCCGCGUCCCAUCAGCUAGUUGGUAAGGUAAAGGCUUACCAAGGCGACGACGGGUAGCCGGUCUGAGAGGAUGUACGGCCACACUGGGACUGAGAUACGGCCCAGACUCCUACGGGAGGCAGCAGUUGGGAAUCUUAGGCAAUGGACGAAAGUCUGACCUAGCGACGCCGCGUGAGGGAAGAAGGCCUUCGGGUUGUAAACCUCUGUCAUGGGGGAAGAAGGAAGUGACGGUACCCCAAGAGGAAGCCCCUGCUAACUACGUG